Molecule: ribosomal RNA, 662 nt
Filed under: Scolecobasidium sp. CBS 124172
Lineage: Eukaryota; Fungi; Ascomycota; Dothideomycetes; Venturiales; Sympoventuriaceae
Description: eukaryotic LSU rRNA
Rfam family: 5.8S ribosomal RNA (bases 297-449)
Source: RNAcentral
GCAUCUGUGGAGCCGGUUACCCGACCUUUUGUGUGAUUUGAGGGUCCGUUUCGGCGCUGGGCGCGGACGGGCGUCGGUAUUUCGGCGGAAGCGGUAGGCGUUUUCGAAUCUCUCCCCUCUACGUUCUUCUUCUUCUCGAGAGAGUCAGAAGGGGAAGGGGAAGAGGGCAGGAGACGACCUGCCCGCCGCCGGCGGUAUUGAACCCAACUCUAUGCGAGAAAAUGAAGUCUGAAGGCGCGGACCGUGGUGCGCGAGCGCACGGGAAACGCGAGAGAAGCAAAAGGAAAAAGAAGCAAAACUUUCAACAACGGAUCUCUUGGCUCUGGCAACGAUGAAGAACGCAGCGAAACGCGAAAGGUAAUGCGAAUUGCAGAAUCAGUGAGUCAUCGAAUUUUUGAACGCACAUUGCGCCUCUCGGUAUUCCGGGAGGCACGCCUGUUCGAGCGCCAUUACACCCUCCAASCUGCGGCUUGAUGUUGGGCGAGGGUCUUCCCGUUCCCGUGGGGAGGGGAGGACGCGCCUGGAACGCGUGGGCGGCGGAAGCCAGACCGCGAGCGUAGCGAGACACGAAAGAGUCAAGUCGCUCGGGACGGACCUGGGAGACGUGUGGCCGGAAAGCAAAGUCACCUUUUCGAGGAACGGCGACGGAAGAGAAAUCGAUC